CACGUAGGGCGCAAGCGUUGUCCGGAAUUAUUGGGCGUAAAGAGCUCGUAGGCGGUCUGUUACGUCUGCUGUGAAAACCCAGGGCUUAACCCUGGGCUUGCAGUGGAUACGGGCAGACUAGAGGCAGGUAGGGGAGAAUGGAAUUCCCGGUGUAGCGGUGAAAUGCGCAGAUAUCAGGAGGAACACCGAUGGCGAAGGCAGCUCGCUGGGACGGUACUGACGCUGAGGCGCGAAGCCAGGGGAGCGAACGAG
RNAcentral lists this ribosomal RNA (252 nucleotides) under uncultured bacterium. Its description in RNAcentral is "partial 16S ribosomal RNA". It matches the Rfam family "Bacterial small subunit ribosomal RNA", at positions 524 to 776 of the family's 1533-position model. The record is from RNAcentral.